This 678-nucleotide long non-coding RNA is filed under the name Gallus gallus (chicken). RNAcentral describes it as "long non-coding RNA NONGGAT003355". The record is from RNAcentral. Lineage: Eukaryota; Metazoa; Chordata; Aves; Galliformes; Phasianidae.
UAGACAUGGAGGCAUGUGAUUAAGGGAAAUGCUGAGUACCCUCGCAAGGCCCUGUGUCCACUCUGGAGCCACAGGAGGCAGCGGAGGGCAUCCCUACGGCCUCUACUUACCACCUGCGUGCAGCACAGCAACCAUGAUGGAGGGGAACCACGACGUCUCGCUGUUGGUGGCCUGGAACUCAUGCUGGAGGUCAGUGAAGAAGACGCCGAUGCAGGAGGGGAAGCCCAGCGUUAGCCCCUGCAGCACCACUGCGGCCACCAGGACCAUCCAUGCCCAUCCCUGGUCCUGGACUUUGGCAGCUCCCCGUGCUGCUGCUCCUCCUUGGGCCAUGGCUUCCUUCUGCUCGCAGGCAGCCUGCUGGAGAAGGGAGUGUAGCUACCAUGCAGCCCUCAGCCCAGGGAACGGACCUAUGGAGACAAGGGCUGCGGGUAUUCCCUGCGCUCGGAGGCACCAGCGUGUCCCAAGCCCUUGGCAGUGCACACUCUGGACUUCUUGCUCUGCAUUUCUUCCAGGACCUCCCUUCCUUCUCUCUGCAGGAUCCUGGCAGAUUGCUCGAUAAAUGACUGCCUUCCCCUUUUAUAUUGCACAAGACAGUGAGUGCAGCCAGGUACAGAACGGGACCACACCUCCCUUGAGGUAUGAACUGGCCUUACCCAGUUCUGCCCUUAUUCUCCCUUU